RNAcentral lists this signal recognition particle RNA (99 nucleotides) under Chlamydiales bacterium. RNAcentral's name for it is "signal recognition particle sRNA small type". It matches the Rfam family "Bacterial small signal recognition particle RNA". Rfam says of the family: The signal recognition particle (SRP) is a universally conserved ribonucleoprotein involved in the co-translational targeting of proteins to membranes. The record is from RNAcentral. Lineage: Bacteria; Pseudomonadati; Chlamydiota; Chlamydiia; Chlamydiales.
GCCGGGGAACUCCUGGAGUCAAGUGGUCCGAACCAGGUCAGGACAGGAAUGUAGCAGCCUUAAGGAACAAGCUUGAUGCCAGGAGCCAUCUCCGGCCUU